RNAcentral lists this ribosomal RNA (254 nucleotides) under uncultured bacterium. RNAcentral describes it as "partial 16S ribosomal RNA". It matches the Rfam family "Bacterial small subunit ribosomal RNA", at positions 524 to 776 of the family's 1533-position model. The record is from RNAcentral.
CACGUAGGCACCAAGCGUUGUCCGGAUUUAUUGGGCGUAAAGAGCUCGUAGGUGGUUCGGUAAGUCGGGUGUGAAAACUUUGGGCUUAACCCAAAGCCUGCAUCCGAUACUGCUGUGACUAGAGUUCGGUAGGGGAGCGGGGAAUUCCUAGUGUAGCGGUGAAAUGCGCAGAUAUUAGGAGGAACACCGGUGGCGAAGGCGCCGCUCUGGGCCGAUACUGACACUGAGGAGCGAAAGCGUGGGUAGCAAACAGG